This 428-nucleotide ribosomal RNA is filed under the name uncultured bacterium. Its description in RNAcentral is "bacterial SSU rRNA". It matches the Rfam family "Bacterial small subunit ribosomal RNA", at positions 376 to 793 of the family's 1533-position model. The record is from RNAcentral.
CGCAAGCCUGAUGCAGCCAUGCCGCGUGUAUGAACGAAGGCCUUCGGGUUGUAAAGUACUUUCAGCAGUGAGGAAGGCAGGUACGUUAAUAGCGUGCUUGUUUGACGUUAGCUGCAGAAGAAGGCACCGGCUAACUCCGUGCCAGCAGCCGCGGUAAUACGGAGGGUGCGAGCGUUAAUCGGAAUUACUGGGCGUAAAGCGCAUGCAGGUGGUUUGUUAAGUCAGAUGUGAAAGCCCGGGGCUCAACCUCGGAAUUGCAUUUGAAACUGGCAGACUAGAGUACUGUAGAGGGGGUAGAAUUUCAGGUGUUAGCGGUGAAAUGCGUAGAGAUCUGAAGGAAUACCGGUGGCGAAGGCGGCCCCCUGGACAGAUACUGACACUCAGAUGCGAAAGCGUAGGGGAGCAAACAGGAUUAGAUACCCUGGUAG